UACGUAGGGUGCAAGCGUUACUCGGAAUUACUGGGCGUAAAGCGUGCGCAGGCGGUUAUAUAAGACAGAUGUGAAAUCCCCGGGCUCAACCUGGGAACUGCAUUUGUGACUGUAUAGCUAGAGUACGGUAGAGGGGGAUGGAAUUCCGCGUGUAGCAGUGAAAUGCGUAGAUAUGCGGAGGAACACCGAUGGCGAAGGCAAUCCCCUGGGCCUGCACUGACGCUCAUGCACGAAAGCGUGGGGAGCAAACAGG
RNAcentral lists this ribosomal RNA (253 nucleotides) under uncultured bacterium. RNAcentral describes it as "partial 16S ribosomal RNA". It matches the Rfam family "Bacterial small subunit ribosomal RNA", at positions 524 to 776 of the family's 1533-position model. The record is from RNAcentral.